Molecule: RNA transcript, 3237 nt
Organism: Solanum tuberosum (potato)
Lineage: Eukaryota; Viridiplantae; Streptophyta; Magnoliopsida; Solanales; Solanaceae
Gene name: BTB/POZ domain-containing protein At3g22104-like
Exons: 6
Source: RefSeq, a predicted model, not a curated record
GUUAUGAAAAUUAGACUACAUUUAAGGGUAAAAGAGUAAAUUGACUUAUCAAUGAUUUAAUGUUAAAAAUGAAAAUCUAGAAGCAUCUGUUUCUUUUUUUUUUUUUCCUAUUACAUUCCGGAUCUCCUUUAUUAUAAAGAAUCUAGAAGCAUCUCCUUCUUCUUUUUUCCGAAAAUUUCUAGAGUAUGAUUGUGAGAAAAAAAACUGUCGAAGUAUUCAUUCAAUUCUCUACAGAGUUUCAAGAACUUUCUUUAGAAUUUAAGACUCAAAUCAGCUGAAGUAUUUAGUUAUUUUUUAUUAUUGUUGUUGCAUAUCACCCACAUCAAUUCCAAAUUGGUCUAAGACGCAAGCUUCAACAAUGGUGGAUUUCGAAGAUAUUAUUAUUUUUUGAUUCGGUAUGUAAAUUUCAAUUUCGACUUCAUAAAAUUAUAGUUGAUCAAAUUUUCAGGUUCCAAUUUCUUGUUAUGUUCCAACAUUAGAGUCUCAAAUGCCUACCGGUAGACACAAAGCUUCUCUAUUUAGUAGAUGAAUGAGGACAAGAAAAUCUUAAAAGAGCAAAGCUGGAUGAUUUUUAGAUCUUCAAUCACAUAGGUGUGUAAAGAGCCCACCAUAUGAAAUUGAUAGAAAUUAUGGGACAACAUUUUGCAUGCGGCAUGAUCUCAAACUACUUAAUGGCGAUGGACUAAGAGUACCUAACUUUGUGAGUAUAACUAUCUCAAGAUUUGAUCCAUUUUCCCCUUCAACCUGUGAUUUUCAUUUCUUCAUCCUAUAUAUGCUUUUGUGUUUGAUGCAUUCUUUGCCGGUAUAUUUUGCUGAGCCAACAUGAAAGUUUACUCACAUUGUCCUACAUAAUUUGGACUACCAAUAAUGGAAUCUAUGUAUUAUAAUAAUAACUAAAUCAUGAGUCAGAAAAAUUCUCUUUCAAUCUAUUUCUAUCUGUCACCGACUCGUGAGCUUCUCGAUUAUUCAUUCUCUCUCUCUCUCUCGUGCUCAUUUUUGCUCCUAACUUUUUCUCUCUGUAAUCCUUUGUAUAUAAAUGUUCCCUUACUCUCUGUUUCAGUAAUCCACGCUAUUAAAAUUGGAAUUUUGAACAUUAUAAUCGAUCUCUCAAAGAAUAUCUAAUCAGAUUGUUCCUAAUUUCUCCAUUCGAAUUGUUCUUGAACAACCUCCUCUCUCUUAAAAAUAAAUAGGAGAAUAUGUAGAACCGUUUGAGUAUUUACUUAGUGUUUUUUAUUUGAUGGAAAGAUAUGAUGAUUUAUUAUGAAUAAUAUUAACUGGUUUAAGAAAGUAGAGAAUACUGAGAAAUCAGAAAGGUCGUCGUCAUUAGGAGAGUACAAGCGAGCAAUGUCAUGGUCCAAGUUCAUAUUAUCAUCAUAAAGGGGGAAAGGUAGGAUUAAUGGAGUCGAUAUGUCGCAACUUUAUAUAGGAAAUAAGUUUGAUUUGGGAAGACAUAGUAGAACUUUCAAGCACAUGGAAUUGACUACUAAACUCAUCACAGUAAGCAUGAUUCCCCAUUUUCUUUUAAAAAAAAUUGAAAAUGAUACUCUGAAUUAUAGAACUAUAAUGAAAUUUACAAUCAAUCUUUAUUUAUCCAAUUCAAAGAUUGAUGUUUGUUGUCCCAACCGUUCUUUUAGUCUCAAUCCAACCAUUUUUUUUAGUCCCAAUCCCGCUAAGCAAAGGGCUGACAUAGAACUAAGUUUCUGUGUUGUUGGUUCUCUCCAAAGUAUUACAUUUUUGUAGAUAGACUUUGGUAAAUGAAAAGAAUUGUGUUAUCAUUCCUUAUGAAGGGACUUUUUCUUGUCAAGUAUUGUAAGUUCAUAAUCUGAUUGUAACAUGUGAUUAUUUACCUGCCUUAAUUGAUUAAACUGUAGUAAUAUUUUUGUGGAAUCAUUAUAGGUUAAGAUUAACUAACGACAUCCUGAAGUGAUUUAUCACAUUUUAGUUUGUUUGAAGUCAAAGAAGAAGAAAAAAAGGAACUCUAGAAUGUGCUACGAACUGCAAAUUUGUAAUAACAUGAUGACACUAAGAUUACUAUCAUUGAGUUGUGAAAAUUAUGAUGUCUGGUCCAAAAUUUAGGAUUAGAAAAAGUAGUGUCUUUCAUAUAUAUUUAUAUUAACAACUCCAUAAUACUUAAAUAUCUAAUAUUAUUAUUAUAGACUUCAUUUGCUGCAGUUGCCACAAGUAUACUAAAAUUAAUUAAAGUAACUUUUCCUUCUUUCUCUGGUGAGGUUGCAUAGUCUGUUGAUGCUAUCAUCCAAAUGCAUAAUCUCCUGCAAACCUGAAAAAGUAAUUUAGGAAGUCAUCAGUGGGGAACAUCCCAUAUUAGUCAAUCCUAUGCUUUAAAAGUUGAUGAAUAGUUCUGUAGGACUUGAUGCAUCUUUUUUAUCUCCUAAAGUAAUCAAGAAGGCCACACGUACUCUCUUUAUUCGCAAAGUUAGGAGUGCAACUACCUUUAGGGGAUUAUUGCUAUAUUAGCCCCCCCUCUCUCUGAUUCUGCCUACCUUUACAGGGAUUGCAAGUUUGCAACAAGUUGCAACUAUAUACGUAUUGGCUUUGAUGAAUUUACAUAUCCUUUUUCGUUUUCUAAUGGCCACCUAUCCCAGACCAUACCAUGUUUGAACAUUAGCUAUUCAUUUAGAACGAAUGAUUAGUUAUGCAUUUGUGAAACCUGGUCUUGCAUCUCAUCUUUCUUGUUCCCGAAGUCAUUACAAGCCUAACUUCAUCGUUUGAACUGUGAAAGGGGUUAUUUUCAUGAUCUUGACAAGCUAAGAUAUUGAAUCUACAUGAAUAGGAUAAGGUGGUGUGGUAUUCUCCAGAGAAUUGCUCCCGCUUACUUGGUAGUGGCCAAAAUAGAAAUUUCUACUAUAUAGAAGAGGGAAGCAAGGGACGACCAAGGCCAAAAUGGUAAUUUUACACGAACAAAGGCAAUAAUCUCCACAACUCUAGAGCACAUGAGCUCUAGAAUCAUCCGAUGCUAGAUAUAUAACCCACACCGCUCUAGAAUCAUUUGAUGCAAGAAAUUAACCCACGGUCGGUCGAAGGUUAUCUGAAGUCAAAAAGAUGAAAGUAUGUAGUGGGCUGAGCUACGAGAAGCUGUCAUUUGAGGGUUGUAGCCACCUUGCUCGUAAUAAAAAUUUCCCUUCAAAAUCUCCUGGACAAGCUCUCAUCACUUAGCAAGUGAAGCUCUAAAGCUUGCUUCAAGAAACCAAUCAAGUCAGCUCGAUUCUCCCUUUAGUU